RNAcentral lists this ribosomal RNA (460 nucleotides) under uncultured bacterium. Its description in RNAcentral is "partial 16S ribosomal RNA". It matches the Rfam family "Bacterial small subunit ribosomal RNA", at positions 338 to 795 of the family's 1533-position model. The record is from RNAcentral.
CCUACGGGAGGUAGCAGUGAGGAAUAUUGGUCAAUGGACGAGAGUCUGAACCAGCCAAGUAGCGUGAAGGAUGACUGCCCUAUGGGUUGUAAACUUCUUUUAUAUGGGAAUAAAAUGUUCCACGUGUGGGAUUUUGUAUGUACCAUAUGAAUAGGGAUCGGCUAACUCCGUGCCAGCAGCCGCGGUAAUACGGAGGAUCCGAGCGUUAUCCGGAUUUAUUGGGUUUAAAGGGCGCGUAGGUGGAUUGUUAAGUCAGUUGUGAAAGGUUGGGGCUCAACCGUAAAAUUGAAGUUGAAACUGGCAGUCUUGAGUACAGUAGAGGUGGGCGGAAUUCGUGGUGUAGCGGUGAAAUGCUUAGAUAUCACGAAGAACUCUGAUGGCGAAGGCAGCUCACUGGACUGCAACUGACACUGAGGCUCGAAAGUGUGGGUAGCAAAAGGGAUUAGAUACCCCGGUAGUC